AGAACGAACGCUGGCGGCAUGCCUAAUACAUGCAAGUCGAACGAAGGCUUCGGCCUUAGUGGCGCACGGGUGCGUAACGCGUGGGAAUCUGCCCCUUGGUUCGGAAUAACAGUUGGAAACGACUGCUAAUACCGGAUGAUGACGAAAGUCCAAAGAUUUAUCGCCAAGGGAUGAGCCCGCGUAGGAUUAGCUAGUUGGUGAGGUAAAGGCUCACCAAGGCGACGAUCCUUAGCUGGUCUGAGAGGAUGAUCAGCCACACUGGGACUGAGACACGGCCCAGACUCCGUACGGGAGGCAGCAGUAGGGAAUA
Molecule: ribosomal RNA, 310 nt
Filed under: uncultured soil bacterium
Lineage: Bacteria
Description: bacterial SSU rRNA
Rfam family: Bacterial small subunit ribosomal RNA
Source: RNAcentral